UGCGGAGGGGGCAAGCGUUAAUCGGAAUUACUGGGCGUAAAGCGCACGCAGGUGGCUGAGUCAGUCGAUUGUGAAAGCCCUGGGCUUAACCUGGGAAUUGCAGUCGAUACUACUCGGCUAGAGUAUGGGAGAGGGCAGUGGAAUUCCCGGUGUGGCGGUGAAAUGCGUAGAUAUCGGGAGGAACAUCAGUGGCGAAGGCGGCUGCCUGGCCCAAUACUGACACUCAGGUGCGACAGCGUGGGGAGCAAACAGG
Molecule: ribosomal RNA, 253 nt
Filed under: uncultured bacterium
Lineage: Bacteria
Description: partial 16S ribosomal RNA
Rfam family: Bacterial small subunit ribosomal RNA
Source: RNAcentral